Nycticebus coucang (slow loris) is the source of this 138-nucleotide small nucleolar RNA. RefSeq annotates it as small nucleolar RNA SNORA72. Lineage: Eukaryota; Metazoa; Chordata; Mammalia; Primates; Lorisidae. The record is from RefSeq and is a predicted model, not a curated record. The transcript has a single exon.
CUGAAAAUAUUCUCACUGUUCCGACAGGUAACAGUAUAGUAUAGUAUUCUAUAUAGUGAAUACUAUAUAGAAACCAUGCAUGUGUCCCCAGACCAGGUUCUCUCCCUAGGUUUGAUUUUACAAAUGCUGGUGAUAAAA